UACGGAGGGGGCUAGCGUUGUUCGGAAUUACUGGGCGUAAAGCGCACGUAGGCGGCUUUGUAAGUUAGAGGUGAAAGCCCAGGGCUUAACCCUGGAAUUGCCUUUAGACUGCAUCGCUAGAAUCGUGGAGAGGUGAGUGGAAUUCCGAGUGUAGAGGUGAAAUUCGUAGAUAUUCGGAAGAACACCAGUGGCGAAGGCGACUCACUGGACACGUAUUGACGCUGAGGUGCGAAAGCGUGGGGAGCAAAGCAGG
Molecule: ribosomal RNA, 253 nt
Filed under: uncultured bacterium
Lineage: Bacteria
Description: partial 16S ribosomal RNA
Rfam family: Bacterial small subunit ribosomal RNA
Source: RNAcentral